Long non-coding RNA from Armigeres subalbatus, 998 nucleotides. RefSeq lists it as uncharacterized. The transcript has 3 exons. The record is from RefSeq and is a predicted model, not a curated record. Lineage: Eukaryota; Metazoa; Arthropoda; Insecta; Diptera; Culicidae.
GUAGAAUCAAGUCUGCUUUCCUCAACUCGGUUUUAUGUGCAGCAUUUAAAAUGUAUUAAUUGUUAAUAUAAUUUAAAUGCCAAACGUUUAUGAUUUAUUUAAAUUGCAAGUAACUUUUCAAUGCAAUGGCCAAUAAUAAAUAAAUUAUCGAUACACGCACAUGAAAUGCAUUAGCGUUUAAAUUAAUAUUUACUGUUUGAAAAUCAUCAACAUGGUGGAGGAGCCCAUUAGAAUUUGCUUCUAAAAUACGAAGGACCUUGCGAAGAACCCACUCAGCAUUCGAGCACGCUAUAGGAGAAAACACAUUUCCAACAUCGGAAUGUUGGCCCAUAUUGAUGGAGGAAAAACCACGGAGCGGAUUUUCUGGUGCAUGAACAGCAGGAACACUUUCGCGGCAUCACGAUUUGUAGCGCGAUAUCGAUAUCGGUUCAAUCAGUUGGACACCUCGUUCGGUUCGACUCGAUCCACCCUGCAAAAGUGAAGGUGCCGUCGCGGUUAUCGCGCGUAUGCCACCAAAAAUACGGCGGAACCAGUCAGAAUGCGAACAAGCAAAGAAGAAAAACAACAUCCCCAAAUAUCUAAAAUCUUGGAUCACAUUAUAUUGAUGUAGCAAAAAAAAACACCACCGAGCGGAUGCUGUUCCAUUCCGGCAAAACGCACGCAAAGUGCAACGCAGUGACGGAUUUUCUAGAGCAGUAGCGCGAGGACGCCAUCACAACUUGCAGUACGGCGAGACCUUCGAAUACAUCUGUAGGGACAUACCGGGGCACAUAACUUUCACAAUGUAAGUCGCUGGCAGCUGUCGACGGAGCGGUGGAUGUUUUGGACGGAUCGAAGCGAAUCUCCACGUUCAUUAAGAAGAUGCAUUUCGGCACCUUCGUUUCCGCCCCCAACAUUCACCACGGAGCGGCACUCCAACCUUGUAUUGAAGUACACAAUUAGAUCGUAAAAUUUUAAAUAUCUGGAAUAUAAAUAAAUAUUUCAAUGUACUUCAUGUU